Molecule: ribosomal RNA, 434 nt
Filed under: uncultured bacterium
Lineage: Bacteria
Description: partial 16S ribosomal RNA
Rfam family: Bacterial small subunit ribosomal RNA
Source: RNAcentral
AGGAAGGCAGCAGUGGGGAAUAUUGCACAAUGGGCGCAAGCCUGAUGCUGCAACGCCGCGUGAAGGAAGACGGUUUUCGGAUUGUAAACUUCUGUUCUUAGUGAAGAAAUAUGACGGUAGCUAAGGAGCAAGCCACGGCUAACUACGUGCCAGCAGCCGCGGUAAUACGUAGGUGGCAAGCGUUGUCCGGAAUUACUGGGUGUAAAGGGGGCGCAGGCGGGAGAUCAAGUCAGCUGUGAAAUCCAUGGGCUCAACCCAUGAACUGCAGUUGAAACUGUUCUUCUUGAGUGAAGUAGAGGUUGGCGGAAUUCCGAGUGUAGCGGUGAAAUGCGUAGAUAUUCGGAGGAACACCGGUGGCGAAGGCGGCCAACUGGGCUUUUACUGACGCUGAGGCCCGAAAGUGUGGGGAGCAAACAGGAUUAGAUACCCUGGUA